RNAcentral lists this transfer RNA (72 nucleotides) under Bos taurus (domestic cattle). It matches the Rfam family "tRNA". From Rfam's summary of the family: Transfer RNA (tRNA) molecules are approximately 80 nucleotides in length. Their secondary structure includes four short double-helical elements and three loops (D, anti-codon, and T loops). RNAcentral also lists the same sequence under 2 other names. Lineage: Eukaryota; Metazoa; Chordata; Mammalia; Artiodactyla; Bovidae. The record is from Rfam by way of RNAcentral.
UCCCUGGUGGCUCAGACAGUAAAGAAUCUGCCUGCAAUGCAGAAGACCCGGGUUUGAUCCCUGGGUUGGGAA